AGCAUAUCAAUAAGCGGAGGAAAAGAAACCAACAGGGAUUGCCCUAGUAACGGCGAGUGAAGCGGCAACAGCUCAAAUUUGAAAUCUGGCUUCGGCCCGAGUUGUAAUUUGUAGAGGAAACUUUUGGUGAGGCACCUUCUGAGUCCCUUGGAACAGGGCGCCAUAGAGGGUGAGAGCCCCGUAUAGUCGGAUGCCGAUCCAAUGUAAAGUUCCUUCGACGAGUCGAGUAGUUUGGGAAUGCUGCUCAAAAUGGGAGGUAAAUUUCUUCUAAAGCUAAAUAUAGGCCAGAGACCGAUAGCGCACAAGUAGAGUGAUCGAAAGAUGAAAAGCACUUUGAAAAGAGGGUUAAAUAGCACGUGAAAUUGUUGAAAGGGAAGCGUUUGUGACCAGACUUGCGCCGUUCCGAUCAUCCGGUGUUCUCACCGGUGCACUCGGGGCGGCUCAGGCCAGCAUCGGUUUUGGUGGGGGGAUAAAGGUCCAGGGAACGUAGCUCCUCCGGGAGUGUUAUAGCCCUGGGCGUAAUGCCCUCGCUGGGACCGAGGUUCGCGCAUCUGCAAGGAUGCUGGCGUAAUGGUCAUCAACGACCCGUCUUGAAACACGGACCAAGGAGUCAAGGUUUUGCGCGAGUGUUUGGGUGUAAAACCCGCACGCGUAAUGAAAGUGAACGUAGGUGAGAGCUUCGGCGCAUCAUCGACCGAUCCUGAUGUAUUCGGAUGGAUUUGAGUAAGAGCGUUAAGCCUUGGACCCGAAAGAUGGUGAACUAUGCUUGGAUAGGGUGAAGCCAGAGGAAACUCUGGUGGAGGCUCGCAGCGGUUCUGACGUGCAAAUCGAUCGUCAAAUCUGAGCAUGGGGGCGAAAGACUAAUCGAACCAUCUAGUAGCUGGUUACCGC
Molecule: ribosomal RNA, 891 nt
Filed under: Sordaria macrospora
Lineage: Eukaryota; Fungi; Ascomycota; Sordariomycetes; Sordariales; Sordariaceae
Description: LSU rRNA
Rfam family: Eukaryotic large subunit ribosomal RNA
Source: RNAcentral